RNAcentral lists this ribosomal RNA (222 nucleotides) under uncultured bacterium. RNAcentral describes it as "partial 16S ribosomal RNA". It matches the Rfam family "Bacterial small subunit ribosomal RNA", at positions 113 to 334 of the family's 1533-position model. The record is from RNAcentral.
CGACGUAUGAAACUUGCCCUACACAGGAGGAUAGCCUUGGGAAACUGAGAGUAACCCUCCAUAGCAUUAUUAAGUGGCAUCACUUUGAUAAUUAAAUCUCCGGAGGUGUAGGAUAGUCGUGCGUCCGAUUAGCUAGUUGGUGAGGUAAUGGCUCACCAAGGCGACGAUCGGUAGCUGGUCUGAGAGGAUGAUCAGCCACACGGGCACUGAGACACGGGCCCG